Molecule: long non-coding RNA, 1265 nt
Organism: Oncorhynchus keta (chum salmon)
Lineage: Eukaryota; Metazoa; Chordata; Actinopteri; Salmoniformes; Salmonidae
Exons: 3
Source: RefSeq, a predicted model, not a curated record
ACCACAGGGAGGGGCUGGACGUCACACACAACCAGGAAGUGACGUAUCAGGAGAAUUAAGCACGUCAAUCAGUCCUCACACACACACAAAUGACCAUCAUGCGUCACUGGGCUGACUGACAGCUCUCUCACCCAAUCACAGACCGCUUCCUCCCAGCCGAUUGGGGAAGUCAGUGGUCCAAGGUUGUCAUGGCUGCAACACUGACAGUCCACUGGCUGAAUUAUAGCUCAGUCUUCGUCUGUGUGUGUGUGUGUGUGUGUGUGUGUGUGUGUGUGUGUGUGUGUGUGUGUGUGUGUGUGUGUGUGUGUGUGUGUGUGUGUGUGUGUGUGUGUGUGUGUGUGUGUGUGUGUGUGUGUGUGUGUAUUGUCAACAUUUUCAGACAUAUAGGUCUAAAGUUUGCACUAUUCACUACACAACACAUCUCUGUAGCAGACAUAAGGUCUAUUAACCAAUCAGAGAGAUGUGAGGGAAAAUUCUCUCCUCCUGUCUAGAGCCUAGGUUAUGUUCCUAUCCAGUCUCCUGUCUAGAGCCUAGGUUAUGUUCCUAUCCAGUCUCCUCCUGUCUAGAGCCUAGGUUAUGUUCCUAUCCAGUCUCCUCCUGUCUAGAGCCUAGGUUAUGUUCCUAUCCAGUCUCCUGUCUAGAGCCUAGGUUAUGUUCCUAUCCAGUCUCCUGUCUAGAGCCUAGGUUAUGUUCCUAUCCAGUCUCCUCCUGUCUAGAGCCUAGGUUAUGUUCCUAUCCAGUCUCCUCCUGUCUAGAGCCUAGGUUAUGUUCCUAUCCAGUCUCCUCCUGUCUAGAGCCUAGGUUAUGUUCCUAUCCAGUCUCCUCCUGUCUAGAGCCUAGGUUAUGUUCCUAUCCAGUCUCCUGUCUAGAGCCUAGGUUAUGUUCCUAUCCAGUCUCCUGUCUAGAGCCUAGGUUAUGUUCCUAUCCAGUCUCCUCCUGUCUAGAGCCUAGGUUAUGUUCCUAUCCAGUCUCCUCCUGUCUAGAGCCUAGGUUAUGUUCCUAUCCAGUCUCCUCCUGUCUAGAGCCUAGGUUAUGUUCCUAUCCAGUCUCCUGUCUAGAGCCUAGGUUAUGUUCCUAUCCAGUCUCCUCCUGUCUAGAGCCUAGGUUAUGUUCCUAUCCAGUCUCCUCCUGUCUAGAGCCUAGGUUAUGUUCCUAUCCAGUCUCCUGUCUAGAGCCUAGGUUAUGUUCCUAUCCAGUCUCCUCCUGUCUAGAGCCUAGGUUAUGUUCCUAUCCAGUCUCCUCCUGUCUAGAGCCUAGGUUAUGUU